Molecule: ribosomal RNA, 253 nt
Filed under: uncultured bacterium
Lineage: Bacteria
Description: partial 16S ribosomal RNA
Rfam family: Bacterial small subunit ribosomal RNA
Source: RNAcentral
UACGUAGGGUGCAAGCGUUGUCCGGAAUUAUUGGGCGUAAAGAGCUCGUAGGCGGUCUGUCGCGUCGAAUGUGAAAACCCGGGGCUCAACCCCGGGCCUGCAUUCGAUACGGGCAGACUAGAGUUCGGUAGGGGAGUCUGGAAUUCCUGGUGUAGCGGUGAAAUGCGCAGAUAUCAGGAGGAACACCGGUGGCGAAGGCGCCACUCUGGGCCGAAACUGACGCUGAGGAGCGAAAGCGUGGGUAGCAAACAGG